CAGCAGCCACGGUAAUACGAAGGGGGCUAGCGUUGUUCGGAUUUACUGGGCGUAAAGGGCGCGUAGGCGGACUGAUAAGUCAGGGGUGAAAUCCCAAGGCUCAACCUUGAAACUGCCUUUGAUACUGUUUGUCUUGAGUUCGAGAGAGGUAAGUGGAACUGCGAGUGUAGAGGUGAAAUUCGUAGAUAUUCGCAAGAACACCAGUGGCGAAGGCGGCUUACUGGCUCGAAACUGACGCUGAGGCGCGAAAGCGUGGGGAGCAAACAGGAUUAGAUACCCCCGUAGUCCCUGUCUCUUAUAC
Molecule: ribosomal RNA, 301 nt
Filed under: uncultured bacterium
Lineage: Bacteria
Description: partial 16S ribosomal RNA
Rfam family: Bacterial small subunit ribosomal RNA
Source: RNAcentral